UACGAAGGGGGCUAGCGUUGCUCGGAAUGACUGGGCGUAAAGGGCGCGUAGGCGGAUGGUACAGUCAGAUGUGAAAUUCCCGGGCUUAACCUGGGGGCUGCAUUUGAUACGUGUUGUCUAGAGUGAGGAAGAGGGUCGUGGAAUUCCCAGUGUAGAGGUGAAAUUCGUAGAUAUUGGGAAGAACACCAGUGGCGAAGGCGACUUACUGGACACAUAUUGACGCUGAGGUGCGAAAGCGUGGGGAGCAAACAGG
Molecule: ribosomal RNA, 253 nt
Filed under: uncultured bacterium
Lineage: Bacteria
Description: partial 16S ribosomal RNA
Rfam family: Bacterial small subunit ribosomal RNA
Source: RNAcentral